Long non-coding RNA from Phyllopteryx taeniolatus (common seadragon), 3518 nucleotides. RefSeq lists it as uncharacterized. NCBI's taxonomy places the organism in Eukaryota, Metazoa, Chordata, Actinopteri, Syngnathiformes, Syngnathidae. The transcript is spliced from 2 exons. The record is from RefSeq and is a predicted model, not a curated record.
AGCGGCCACCAAAGGGGUCCUAGUUGAGUUGAGUUCUCGCCGCAGAAGUGAAAGUUCGCAGACAGACAAAUGCGUCUGUGAUGGAUCAAGCAAUGAUGAGUUGGAUUCCACCAAGUAAGUGUGGAACAGCCAUCUGAUUCGUCCAUCCAAGAACGAGCGGGUGCCUCAUGGUCGGCCUCAUGCAAUGUUCAUGGUACCUGAGCUGUAUGGCACCCAGGACUUUUUGUGCCAAGUUGGUGAGGAGGACUUUAUGAGGUGUGAAGAUGACUGCAUCCACCGCAAUGAUGAUGCUGAUGUGUUCACUCUCUGUACACAUAUAAUGGCACAGAACAACCUUCAAGUCCCAGUCGAUGGAUAUAUGGCCAUGGACAACUACCUCUACUUGAGAGAGGAGCUCAUUUCACUUUUAGGCCUUAGUAGAUAAAGGUGUAAAGGGUUUUAAAGUCUUAUACAAUUUCUAACAUGUCAUAUCACCCAACCAAUGUAUGUACCUCUUAACUCCUAAUGACAUGCAUGCAUCCUCUCUUCUGGAUGGUACAACACCUGAUUUGCCUCUGUAAUCCAGCAACCAGAAUGUAAAACCCCUAGCAUAUUUUGAAUCCACUUGAUCAUUUAAAAAAGCAGGUGGACAUCCCAGAUCCAGAAAGUAAAAAUAUAAUGGGUCUAACCAUUUAUUAUACCAACUGAAUUUAAUCACCACAAUAUCUCAACAGGGUAGAUGAGUUCUCAACUGGCAUUCUGUGAAAUUCUUGAGAUGCUCAGAUGGAUCCAAAUUAUGGGAGGGUUUUUAUUUCCCGGACCUGGAUUGUACAGUUCUCUGCCCCACCAAGCCUCUUCAGAAUCAGAAUCAGAAUCAUCUUUAUUUGCCAAGUAUGUCCAAAACACACAAGGAAUUUGUCUCCGGUAGUUGGAGCCGCUCUAGUACAACAGACAGUCAAUUUACAGAACACUUUGACAUCUGUGGUCAUGAAGUCCUUUGAACGUCUUGUGCUGGACCACCUCAAGAGUGUCACAGGUCCCCUGCUGGACCCCCUGCAGUUUGCCUACCAAGCGAACAGAUCUGCGGAUGAUGCAGUCAACAUGGGACUGCACUUCAUCCUAGAACACCUCGACAGUGCAGGGACCUAUGCGAGGAUCCUGUUCGUGGACUUCAGCUCAGCGUUCAACACCAUCAUCCCUGAACUCCUUUCAUCCAAGCUUCUCCAGCUCAGCGUCUCACCUGCCAUCUGCCAGUGGAUUUACAGCUUUCUGACGGGCAGGACACAGCAGGUCAGGCUGGGGGAGGCCACCUCAUCCACACGCAGCAUCAGCACUGGGGCGCCCCAAGGUUGUGUCCUCUCUCCGCUGCUCUUCUCUCUCUACACGAACGACUGCACCUCAGCGAACCCGACUGUCAAACUCCUUCCUCAUUACUCCACUAUUGAGCCUCCACCUCAUUUCACCAUUUAUGAGCCUCCUCUUCAUUUGACCUUCGAUGGACAAGCUCCUCAAUCUUCCGCCAAACAAGCGUUCUUUUCAUGCCUCAUUUGACCGGCAUCCACUGAUGGAAUUCAGACCCUUUUUUGAAUUGUUCAGAAAAAAAGGUACCUGGACAGACAGCUGUCUUCAGCCAUGAAAAUUUCUUUCAGCUCUUCUGGUUUGUGAAAUGUUUUGUUGUUGCAGUUAAUUUCACAGCAUACUUUUCAUUGUAUAUAUUCUAUUACAUCAUUAUUAUGUGUAUUUGCCUUGAUAUUGCCACUCAAAUUGCUGAUGUAUACACAUUUUUGUGAUCAACAUAUGUAGCUAUAAACCUCAAUCAGGCAUGUAGUGAGUAAUUCAGACAACGUCACAAUCAGGCGGCACGGUGGCCGACUGGUUAGAGCGUCAGCCUCACAGGUCUGAGGACCCGGGUUCAAUCCCCGGCCCCGCCUGUGUGGAGUUUGCAUGUUCUCCCCGUGCCUGCGUGGGUUUUCUCUGGGCACUCCGGUUUCCUCCCACAUCCCAAAAACAUGCAUUAAUUGGAGACUCUAAAAUUGCCCAUAGGUGUGACUGUGAGUGCGAAUGGUUGUUUGUUUGUAUGUGCCCUGCGAUUGGCUGGCAACCAGUUCAGGGUGUACCCCGCCUCCUCCCCGAUGACAGCUGGGAUAGGCUCAGGCUAGUGAGGAGAAGCGGCUCAGAAAAUGGAUGGAUGUCACAAUCAGUAAUUGUUAAUGAAAGCAACAUUUAAGUUUGUUGCUAUAAAUGUGUGUGGUAAUUAAAAUAAGUUUAAAGAAUAAAACCAACUGUCUUCUACUGGUUCAGGUAGCUAAACCAGCUGGAGUUCGAACUGUAUUUUGACCCUUAGGUUAUCCUCAGUAUACUGCACAUUUCUGGGAGGAUGGCGCAAUGACCAAGUGAAACGAGGUGGUCAAAUUUACGUUAAUGCACGGUGGCAAAUCAGGCGGUAACAAGGUGACGAACUUAAAGCUGCAGACUGUAGACAAUAUCGACAUAGCCUGUGUGAAAUGAGUGAAUUUGGCUUUCUCCACACAGAAAAAAAUUUCAGAUUGGAAUAUUUGCAGACUUUAUUUUUAUACAAUCCGUGUACAACAAGGCACCAUGGUAGUGCAACAAACAGUAUUACCCUGAAACCUGCUUUAUGAAAAUAUGCAUAGUACAUUGCAUAAAAACUUGCAGUAAGAGCGGUUUUAUAAAGGGAGGGGAAAAAACUACUUAAAACUUGCAUGACAAUACCAGUUAAAGUUGUGUGUAACCACACCAAAAGGGCUUCUUUUGUCAAAAACAAUGUGCAAAUGUAAUGUAAACAAUGUCAACUCAGUGUAAACAAGUAGUCACUCUGGCUGGUAUGAAUAGAGUCAUUGCAUGGACAGCGUAGCAAUCAAUCUGAGGAAAAAAGAAGAACAUUUGUAAUUCAACAAGAAGCUGUAGCAAUACCUAAAUAGCAUGAUCAUCAAUAAUUCUGAAACAUAAUGAGUUAAAAGUCUACAGAGUAAAACAUGUUUGUUACAGCCAGGUAGAUAAAUGAUUGACAAUAACAGAGCUCUUUUUUUCUGAUCUAGCUGCCAGCAGCUACUGUAUGAAACAGCUGAUCAACAUUUCCCACUGUUCACAUUGCAAGAUUGCAUUGCCAUAUAGCACACUGUAUAUAACCCAUACCUAAUGUACAUUGUAGUUCACAUGACUGCCUUGCCACACACUUACAUUGAUUACAGAGAUAUUCACAAACGAGGUCAUUGGUGCAUGCACUCAAUUACUACAGUUAGGCUAUUUAUUUAAUGUAAAAUAGUUUAUGUACUUCUUGAUUUACACUGUGUACUAGAUUCACUACCUGGCAAAAAUAAUUUGUGUGCAAACUCACUUCGCCACAUAAACCCUGAUUACUGAGACUGAUAUUGCACAUUUACAAACUCAAAUAUCAACCAUAUCACACUACACGUAUAUGAAGCAAAAACAUUUUCUUGAAUAUACAUCUCGAUGAAAUGACAAAUGUUUACAAGGGGAUACAUACCUUCUCUUCAAUAAAGGUGGCAAUGACAUCA